GGCAAGUGCCAUAAUGUCACCAGCUGCUUCUCAUCACAUAAUGUUCUAGCUUAUGUUAAAUUGGACAAAGAUGGCAAACUAAUAAUGCACAGAUUUAGGAAGCUGAUUUUAGGGUCUUUUAGAGCCAGUGGAUUCUGCUUCAUGACUGCAGAUCUAAGGUAAAAAACUUUACCUUGAAGAAGUGGUAAUUCAGCUGUAUGAGGUUGUACAUAUUUGAGAAGGCACAGUUUAGAAGCACACCUGAUGCUUUUAUCAAGACAUCAAAGUGUGUGAGAUGUGGUAUUUCUCUGUAAGUUCAGAGUGAUCCUAGAGUUUGCCAGAAACAGUUUGAAAAAUGCUUCUGAAGGAUUUUGUGAUGCUUUUCACCAUUCCAGAGAGGGGGAGGGGAGAGCAGCUGAGAGAUUAACUUCCUUGGGAGAUGUUUAAUACAUCAUCGAAUCAUUACACAGCUAGGAAACAAAUACGAUUUUGCUAUGCAUACACAGGCGUGGUAAAACACACGUACAGUGUGUGGUGAGAUAGCCAGUAUAUCCAAAACCACCCGCUGGUUAGAGCUGACUUAGAGCUAAACUGAAUUACUGUUUCCUCAAGGAAGUAUGAAAAAGUAUAGGUCGCCCCUUACAAGUACAGUUUGCUGGACUGAAAGUAUUUCAUGGGAGAUAAUGGGAAAGUAAGGGUUAUUGUCACUUGUUAUUCCCUGUGAUGUUGUCCUUGAUCUGACUGCAGCUGCCAUUCUAGAUUUCUAUAAAUCAUUAGACUCCAAAGCUGAGACCUGCAGUGCCUUAGCUCUAGAAAAUGCUUGCAGAAGUAACAGUUGAGUUACGAAUUCACUCAGUGUUCCUGGUCUGUUGGACAGGGUGUUUAGUCUCCUGUCUGCUCUGCUAUGGAGAUAGGAAAGAUCCUUCAGAGUUUUGCUAAUCCUCUGGCUCUGGUCUGGUGCAUAGCUAAUGCACGGUAGUGUUACAGUUGGUCUUCUUCAUGGUUUUUCAUGCUGGUUUUGUCUAAUGUCUUCGAAUACUUAAUUUAACACUUACAUGCAAUGUUGUCCAACCAAAGACAUACUUCUGGGCAAUUCUCAAGAUGGUUUGGUGUCCAGCACCAGGCUGUGUUCCUAGAUGGCAUCUUUAACAUAUGGACAAAUGAAGCCAGCCUAAAACAAACCCUCUUUGUUACCAAGGGCACUUUUAUACAGUGGCAUCCCUCUCCAGCAUGGUGCUGGUAGUACAAAUCUACCAAAGCACAAAAUUAUUUUGAGUCUUACCCACCACUCACAGAUCUUCAUCCGUGCCAGAAAGUUUCCCAUUGUUAAAAGGAGUUAUUACAAUGCUAAAAUGAAAUAUUUAAGGCAUGGUAUGCAUAUUAAAUAUAGUUAGAAAUUUGAGCACCCACUGCUAUUUUAUAUCACCUCGGUUUGUUGAGUUGAUCAAUGGGCAUUAUAACGAUGCAGUCACAUGUCCAGUACUAUUUUCACAUUUUAAUUCUAUUUGCAAAGCACUCGCAACAUUUCUGCUUAAUCAGUAAAAUAUUAGUGUCACCUUUUCUGGUUGUAGAGUGAAAAAAAUCUGUAAAUAUCAUCCUAUCAAAUGGGAGAGAUAACAGUAAAUGAGAAUAAUUUUUAUCUCAAUGUGGGGAAGGAAACCCUACCAAAACACAGACAACCUGCCAAAUCACAGGGCAAAGUAAAGUCAAAAUAUAGAGAGUUUUUAUACAGACUGCAAUCAAACUAUACCAAAAGCUAUCUUGUUUCCUAUCACUCUCAUUUAAACCACAGACCAGAGAGCUUGCCGCAUCAAAACUGUUGGAAAAGCCUGGGGAAAAGGCAAUAGUGAUGCAGAACUUCCAAAAAAAAAGAGAAGUACAAAGAUCAUAGAAGAGUAUUUGAUAAGCAAUAAACUGCAUAAAAGAACCAGCAGUGUGAAUCCGAAAUUUAACUUCUACCGAAAAUAACAGGAUAUCCACCUAUUACAAAAUGAAAUGUAAAACAACGUUGCUGGUGAUUUGAGUAUAAAAUAAUGCUGCAGUAACCAAGUGUAAUGCACCACUGAAACCAAAAACACUUCCAGAUUCAUGCUAAAGUUCAGAUCAAGACUCUGGAGCCACUUCCAAAAACAGCUGAGGGAACCAGCACUUGAUAGUCUUGAAAAAUAGACUGAAACUUUUACUGUUAAAACGCGGUACUGCAGAAGUCACUGAUAGAGGGGCACUUUGACCUUAAAAUUAGCUCUGAUGGAAGAUCAUUCUUUGGCAGAGAGGUCUGUACAGCUCACACACAAUUACUGGACACUGAAGAAAAGCUAUACCUUACUGACUUCAAGGGUCUGGUACAGUAAAAAGAACAAAUUGGAUCCUUAAAAAAGGCUUAAAAACCAGUGGUGAGAACUGGGACCUCCUGUCUGCAGGCUCAACCCUACAGUAAAUUGCUUUUGAGGUCCCUACUGGACCUCAGCUUCUGUUUCUGCAUUGUGCUGUUCAUUCAGGGCUGGAAUAUUUUAACCAACAGUGAGAUGGAAAUGGUCAGUAUCUUUCUAUGGUAAUUAUUCAUUGCUAGGAAGUCUGGUAGCUGAAAGACCAAAGAGAGGCAUCCAGAAAGCUAAUUCACUAUUUGAAAAUCACUGAAAGAGACAGGACUUUGAAAACUGUUUAUCUGAUAAAGCCACAGCCUGGGUUAGCAUCUUCUGUAAAACUGUGGACAAAUUGUGUGAUGCUGUCAAUAAAAUUUGUAUGCCUACUGGAAAAAAUGUAAUUUAGUUCAUCACACAGAUCACAUAGUGUUACGCAGAAAAUUCCUCUAUUUAACAGGAUGCUGUAACCACUGCCUGCACUAGCAAGAGGAACAGCUGAAGGAGCUUUGAUCCUCUGGAAAUCAACUUUUGUGAUGAUGAAAGAUGUCUUCACCCAACAUGAGACAGUUUAUAAAGUCCAAACUUGUGCUAAACAUGAUUUCACUAAUCAGAUGUUCUACGCUCCUUUGAAGACCUCAAAAGUAUUGAAGUUAAAAAGCUCUGAGAAUAUUUGUUAUGAGCAGGAAUAAAUAUUCCAGUUCUACAUCAACCUCAUGAUGGACUAAUACUUGAACAGACUGGUAGAAAGUCUGCAGGCCAUGUUGAUAUUCCGCACAGGAGCUUCAGACAUCUGAUUGCCUGGCUUGACUGCAGCAGGAUGGCAAUAUGAAUUGACAUGAUUGAAACAGCUCCAAAAGGCUUCUGUAAAGAAUGGUAAAACUAGAAAAAAUAUUUACUGUUUCUUGGGUGAAUUGA
Pezoporus occidentalis (night parrot) is the source of this 3257-nucleotide long non-coding RNA. RefSeq lists it as uncharacterized. NCBI's taxonomy places the organism in Eukaryota, Metazoa, Chordata, Aves, Psittaciformes, Psittacidae. The transcript is spliced from 2 exons. The record is from RefSeq and is a predicted model, not a curated record.